This 599-nucleotide small RNA is filed under the name Pongo abelii (Sumatran orangutan). RNAcentral describes it as "retained intron". The record is from RNAcentral. Lineage: Eukaryota; Metazoa; Chordata; Mammalia; Primates; Hominidae.
CCAGGGUGGAUGUGACUCCUCCGUUCUGCCUGUACCCUCCCCUUCCCAUGCAGAUGUAGUAACCUGCCUUGCACUGGACACCUGUGGCAUCUACCUCAUCUCAGGCUCUCGGGACACCACGUGCAUGGUGUGGCGGCUCCUGCAUCAGGUGUGCCUGGUGGGCAGCUCUGUGGGGUCCCCGUAGCCCAGACCUGCAGCCCAUCCAUCCCUCAGUGGCCUUCCAGUCCUGCCCUCAUGUCUUUCCCUUCCCUUUGCUACCAUGAGCAAGUCUGGGGCUCCAUGACCCUCCAGCUCUCUAGUCUUGGACAAUGCCUUCGUUUCCUGAGCCUUAGGGGACAGUCCUAAGCCAACCCUGGUCCUCCACAGGGUGGUCUGUCAGUAGGCCUGGCACCAAAGCCUGUGCAGGUCCUGUAUGGGCAUGGGGCUGCAGUCAGCUGUGUGGCCAUCAGCACUGAACUUGACAUGGCUGUGUCUGGAUCUGAGGAUGGAACUGUGAUCAUACACACUGUACGCCGUGGCCAGUUUGUGGCGGCACUACGGCCUCCGGGUGCCACAUUGCCUGGACCUAUUUUCCACCUGGCAUUGGGGUCCGAAGGCCA